CAGGCCUAACACAUGCAAGUCGAGGGGCAGCAUGGGAUUAGCUUGCUAAUCCUGAUGGCGACCGGCGCACGGGUGAGUAACGCGUAUCCAACCUUCCCCCUGCUCAGGGAUAGCCCGGUGAAAACCGGAUUAAUACCUGAUGGUUUCAUUUGACGGCAUCAGAUGAUGAAUAAAGAAAUUCGGCAAGGGAUGGGGAUGCGUCUGAUUAGCUUGUUGGCGGGGUAACGGCCCACCAAGGCGACGAUCAGUAGGGGUUCUGAGAGGAAGGUCCCCCACAUUGGAACUGAGACACGGUCCAAACUCCUACGGGAGGCAGCAGUGAGGAAUAUUGGUCAAUGGGCGAGAGCCUGAACCAGCCAAGUAGCGUGCAGGAAGACGGCCCUAUGGGUUGUAAACUGCUUUUGUGCGGGAAUAAAGUCAGGGACGUGUCCCUGUUUGCAUGUACCGCAAGAAUAAGGACCGGCUAAUUCCGUGCCAGCAGCCGCGGUAAUACGGAAGGUCCGGGCGUUAUCCGGAUUUAUUGGGUUUAAAGGGAGCGUAGGCCGUCGUUUAAGCGUGUUGUGAAAUGUAGGCGCCCAACGUCUGCACUGCAGCGCGAACUGGAUGACUUGAGUACGCGGGAAGCAGGCGGAAUUCGUCGUGUAGCGGUGAAAUGCUUAGAUAUGACGAAGAACUCCGAUUGCGAAGGCAGCCUGCUGUAGCGCCACUGACGCUGAUGCUCGAAAGCGUGGGUAUCAAACAGGAUUAGAUACCCUGGUAGUCCACGCAGUAAACGAUGAUGGCUAACCGCUGGCUCUUUCGGGUCAGUGGCCAAGCGAAAGCGAUAAGCCAUCCACCUGGGGAGUACGACCGCAAGGUUGAAACUCAAAGGAAUUGACGGGGGCCCGCACAAGCGGAGGAACAUGUGGUUUAAUUCGAAGCAACGCGAAGAACCUUACCAGGGCUUGACAUCCUCUGACCGUCCUAGAGAUAGGAUUUCCCUUCGGGGCAGAGAGACAGGUGGUGCAUGGUUGUCGUCAGCUCGUGUCGUGAGAUGUUGGGUUAAGUCCCGCAACGAGCGCAACCCCUAUUGCCAGUUGCCAUCAUUUAGUUGGGAACUCUGGCGAGACUGCCGUGGACAACACGGAGGAAGGUGGGGACGACGUCAAAUCAUCAUGCCCCUUAUGUCCUGGGCUACACACGUAAUACAAUGGUAACGACAGAGGGCAGCGAACCCGCGAGGGUCAGCGAAUCCCUAAACGUUAUCCCAGUUCGGACUGCAGGCUGCAACCCGCCUGCACGAAGUCGGAAUUGCUAGUAAUGGCAGGUCAGCAUACUGCCGUGAAUACGUUCCCGG
This 1336-nucleotide ribosomal RNA is filed under the name uncultured rumen bacterium. RNAcentral describes it as "bacterial SSU rRNA". It matches the Rfam family "Bacterial small subunit ribosomal RNA", at positions 43 to 1377 of the family's 1533-position model. The record is from RNAcentral.